UGGGGAAUAUUGCACAAUGGGCGCAAGCCUGAUGCAGCCAUGCCGCGUGUGUGAAGAAGGCCUUCGGGUUGUAAAGCACUUUCAGCGGGGAGGAAGGCGAUAAGGUUAAUAACCUUGUCGAUUGACGUUACCCGCAGAAGAAGCACCGGCUAACUCCGUGCCAGCAGCCGCGGUAAUACGGAGGGUGCAAGCGUUAAUCGGAAUGACUGGGCGUAAAGCGCACGCAGGCGGCCUGUCAAGUCGGAUGUGAAAUCCCCUGGCUUAACCUGGGAACUGCAUUCGAAACUGGCAGGCUAGAGUCUUGUAGAGGGGGGUAGAAUUCCAGGUGUAGCGGUGAAAUGCGUAGAGAUCUGGAGGAAUACCGGUGGCGAAGGCGGCCCCCUGGACAAAGACUGACGCUCAGGUGCGAAAGCGUGGGGAGCAAACAGG
RNAcentral lists this ribosomal RNA (429 nucleotides) under Chloroflexota bacterium. RNAcentral describes it as "Chloroflexi bacterium partial 16S ribosomal RNA". It matches the Rfam family "Bacterial small subunit ribosomal RNA", at positions 355 to 776 of the family's 1533-position model. The record is from RNAcentral. Lineage: Bacteria; Bacillati; Chloroflexota.